CGUAAAGCAAGAUGGCCGCGCCGGCUUGACCACGCGUGCUCCUCCCGCCUCAGCGGGCCGCUCCGGACCUUCCGAGGGAGAGAGCGCGGUGCGUGGCGCGAAGGGUCCCGCCGGGCAGCAGGGUAAACCGCCGGCCGCACCCUCCGCGCGCGGCCUUGGGGCUCGCGGCAGCCACCGUACGCCAAGAUGGCGGCCCCCGCGCUUCCGCCCGCGCUUCCGCCCGCUUGCGAUUGGCCCUCGCGCCGCCCCGUCGUCGCGUCGCGCUGCGAGCCCGUCGGGCUCCGCGCGGGUCAGUCGGCGGCCGGACCGGGAAGAUGGACGCAGGCCAUUGGAUCCGAAGUGGAGCAGCUGGGACGUGAACGGGCACUCAUGUGGGAAGCUGGCAUCGCAGAUAGAAGCUUUACCUGCUACGCCACAACCCUGGCCCUGAGGCACACUUCUUAUCCCAGCAGCUCUGUGGACCACUUCGUAAAUGGCCUGCUGUGGUGCGUGAGGGUGCUGAGGUCACGGCGCAAGGGUACUGAGGUCGCAUUUGAGGGUGCUGAGGUCACAGCCACUCUGACCUACGACACUCUCCGGUUUGCCGAGUUUGAGGAUUUCCCCGAGACCUCGGAGCCCGUGUGGAUACUGGGUAGAAAGUACAGCCUUCUCACAGAAAAGAACGAGAUCUUGUCCGAUGUGGCGUCUAGACUCUGGUUCACAUACAGGAAGAACUUCCCAGCCAUUGGGGGAACUGGCCCCACUUCAGACACGGGCUGGGGCUGCAUGCUGCGGUGUGGCCAGAUGAUCUUCGCCCAAGCCCUGGUGUGUCGGCACUUAGGCCGAGAUUGGCGGUGGACACAGCAGAAGAGGCAACCAGACAGCUACUUGAGUGUCCUGCAUGCCUUCAUGGACAGGAAGGACAGCUACUACUCCAUUCAUCAGAUAGCACAAAUGGGCGUCGGCGAGGGCAAGUCAGUAGGCCAGUGGUAUGGGCCCAACACUGUCGCCCAGGUCCUCAAGAAGCUGGCCGUCUUCGACACGUGGAGUUCCCUGGCAGUCCACAUCGCCAUGGACAACACCGUGGUGAUGGAGGAGAUCAGGAGACUGUGCAGGAGCAGCCAUCCCUGCGCAGGAGCCGCCACCCCGCCUGCAGGUGCCGACUGGCACUGCAAUGGGUUCCCUGCCAGCACCGAGGUCACCAACAGGUCGCCCUGGAGACCCCUGGUGCUUCUCAUCCCACUGCGCCUGGGGCUCACUGACAUCAACGAGGCCUACGUGGAGACCCUGAAGCUCUGUUUCAGGAUGCCCCAGUCGCUGGGGGUGAUCGGAGGGAAGCCCAAUAGCGCCCACUACUUCAUCGGCUACGUGGGUGAGGAGCUCAUCUACCUGGACCCCCACACAACGCAGCCGGCCGUGGAGCUGACGGACCUCUGCUUCAUUCCUGACGAGAGCUUCCACUGCCAACACCCGCCCUGCAGGAUGAGCAUCGGGGAGCUUGACCCGUCCAUCGCUGUGGGGUUCUUCUGCAAGACAGAGGAAGACUUCAAUGACUGGUGCCAGCAAGUCAGGAAGCUGUCCUUGCUGGGAGGUGCCCUGCCCAUGUUUGAGCUGGUGGAGCAGCAGCCUCCUCACCUGGCCUGUCCCGAUGUCCUGAACCUGUCCCUAGGCCAUUAGCAGGGAGCUGGAUCGCAAGCAAAGUAGCCAGGACUCGACACACCCAUAGCGAUACCUGCCAACCAGCUCUGCCGCACGCCGGCCGCGCCUUCUCCUUAACUAGGCUGUUGAUUCCUCUCUGCCUCCUCAGAGUCUUCUGAUGUAGAGCGACUAGAAAGAUUCUUUGACUCAGAAGAUGAGGACUUUGAAAUCUUGUCCCUUUGAAGAUCCUGCAUUGGGAAACGGCUUCGGCAGGCCUCGCCGGGCGCCAUUAGCCUGCCCGCCCGCUGAGUGCCUGUGCCCUGGGCCACCCCACUCUGCCAGUGGGCCGAGGACUGCCGCCCUGAGACCUGCCUUCUUGGAGUCAGACUGCCCGCCGUGCAGCGCGCACGUCCACAGGAAGAGCUGCCACACAGCCUGGUGCAGCUGGGCCUGGAACUGCUGCAGCCCCCCGCAGCCCUGCCAGUCUGGCCGUCUUCGUUGGCUUCAGUGCUGCUGCCGCCUGGUGCCUGGGUCUGUGGUUGGUUUGGAAUUAAAGCCCUGUUUGAAGUUGUUCAACAGACACGAGUCAGUCGUGGCAGCCCUACAGGUUGGCAUGUGAGGGACAGCAGUGGCUGCGCUGUGGCCCGGUGCCCGUGGACAGGCUGCUGCUGGGCAGGCAAGCUCUGGGGCCAUGUCCCCUCAGCCAUGGCCUCUGCCCAGUGUGGUGUAUCAGGGUCACCUCGCGGGAGAUCAGGUGGAGUCACAGCAGAGUUCCUCCUUGCUUCGGAGAGGAAGGUGCCCAGACCAGCUGUGUGGAAAGUGCAGCGCCGGCUGCCUGCCAGGACCGCGUGGUGGCCCGGCCACUGGCAGCCUAUCCCAGGUGUCUCCAGCUGCCACACCCAGCUUCCCAGCACCCCUUGCUGCUUGGUAGCCAUGCUGUGACAGGGACAGGGGAGUGGCAUUCGCCUGCAGGGGCCUCUCUGGUCACUGAGGUUUUGAUGUUCUGCAGCCAAAGUGCUCAUGGAUUCCAGCUGUGGUUCCAGACCCACUUGGGUGCCUCUUUCAGCACCUGCCCUUUUACCCCAUGCUGUGGGCCCCGUGGGUGCCACGCUGCCUGCGUCUGCUGGGAGAGCUGCUUUCGGAAGUGCAGAUGGGGUGGGAGCUGGCAGCUGAUGGCUGGGCUGCUGCUGCCCAUGCAGUGGGGCUGGAGCUCGGCUCGUCUCUGGGGACAUCCGCUGUGGCUGUCAGCUCCGCCCGGCCCAGUGAGGCAGCAGAGGACUCCCUAGCUCCAAGCACUAACCUAAUUUAUUUUCUCUUCUUUCACUUUUCCUCCCAGCCUCCCUCAGCUGCAGCGGGUGGGGCAGGAGGGAGGUGGGGUCGGUCGCCCUCUGCUCCUCAGGGUCUCCAGCGUGGACCAAAGGGGAGCUCUCUCUUGCUCACGAGGCUCUGAAGAGGAUGUUGUCCUUCUCAGUAGUGUAGUUUGCUGUGCUCAAUGGCGAAUAAUAACAUUUCAGUAGAAAACGG
This is a non-coding RNA of Oryctolagus cuniculus (rabbit), 3141 nucleotides long. NCBI's taxonomy places the organism in Eukaryota, Metazoa, Chordata, Mammalia, Lagomorpha, Leporidae. The record is from RefSeq and is a predicted model, not a curated record.